AAAACUAUUAAGCACGAAUUAACUACCGAACCCCUAUUAGCUACUAACUACACAUCCUAGCAACGCUACAUUUAGCUAGACAUAACUAAAACUAAAGACAUAAAAAUAAAAUAAGCAAAUAAAUAAAAAGACAUAAUAAAAAUAAAAACAAAAAUUAAAAGCAUAAAAUAAAAGCAAUAAAAUAAAGACAAGAAAUAAAUAAGACCAUAAAAUAAAAUAAGAACCUGAAAUAUAAAAGAAAUCUCGAGUACGGAUUCCGACAGCGUAACGUCAGGAAAUAAAAAAAACUUAUUAAAUUCUCAACGGAGAAUAAAAUAAUACUAAACUCUCAACUUUAGAGAAGAAAACCUUGUGGUACUAAGCCUAGUUCUCAAUUCUCCAAUUCAAGUGUUAUGUUUUUGAGUGAAGAGAACUAGCCUAUUUAUACUAAAAUACAAGGAGGAAAAAAACAAAACUGGCCGAUGUGAGACUUUGUUAAAUUAGCG
RNAcentral lists this long non-coding RNA (485 nucleotides) under Trifolium pratense (red clover). RNAcentral describes it as "long non-coding RNA (TPRA_LNC010805)". The record is from RNAcentral. Lineage: Eukaryota; Viridiplantae; Streptophyta; Magnoliopsida; Fabales; Fabaceae.